This 2959-nucleotide long non-coding RNA is filed under the name Canis lupus familiaris (dog). RNAcentral's name for it is "lncRNA (ENSCAFG00000059447.1)". Lineage: Eukaryota; Metazoa; Chordata; Mammalia; Carnivora; Canidae. The record is from RNAcentral.
UGGUUAUCCAUCAGUGUCUUGCAUUUCAUCAGGCAAGCAUUAACACUUCCUGUUGGCGGUCACAGUGCUCACAGUCUAACAGAAUGGACACUGGAGUUGCAUUCUGUGACAUGGGGGCCUUUGAUGCUUAAAUGAAGAUGGAAAGGUUAGCAAUAACUGGGUAUCAAUUAGAAUUUGAGAAUUCUAUAUGUUUACAUUUUUUUAAUGUGCAUCUUUAUCCGGUGGGCUUCCCAUGUGGAAACUUGCACUAUAACGAAUUAAGAAGAAUAUUGCCUUGUUAUAUCUCAGUCCAAGUGCUUGUACUGCGAUGGCAAUGGCCUCUUCUUGCAAAAUACUGAUUUGUGUGCCAAUUUGUUUGAAAUUAUUUGAAGGCGGUUCCGCUUAAACUCAAAAUCCUCUUUCUGGGGUAGUUGAGUUGGAUUCUUAGUAUUUGGGGAGGGUACCUUUAAAUGAGAGAAUUAUCAGAAUUCAGCAAGAUUGGCCCUCAGGUUACAUGGACAGUUAAGCUUAAGUAAACUAUCUUGAUUAUUAAACAUAAGUUUAAUUGGAAAAAUUGAAGAUAAAAAAUAAACAUGAGCACAAGUCAGGAAAAAGUAGAAAAGGGUGUGGAAUUUACUUUAUUGCUAUAUUAAUUAUCAUGGGGGGAAAAGGAAUAAAAUAUUAUUAGAUUCUUUAAAUACUAAAGUAUAUAAUUUUGAACAUAUAUCUUAAAGUAUGCCUAUUUACUGAUAUGAUUAAAAUUAUGAGAAAUGAGCUCUAGCAGAGUAUACUUCUUGUGCACUAUAUAAUAGACUAGUCUUCACUGAGGGUAGUCUUUUAUAACUCUGAACUUUAAUAAUUUGAACUUACCUCCUUCAGAGCCCUGGUCUUCUAAACAGUGGCCCAAGGGAUUUUGCUGCUUAAAUCAGAUAAUGGUAUAUUCACAAGAAAAAAACAGAGUUAAGGGAUAGAAUUUGUCAGUAUUAAUUUUUGUUUCAUGAAAUUUUAUUCUGCCUUUGAUAUUUGCUGCCGCUCUUCUGUAGUAGCAUACAUGAGAUGUUUGUCUAGCAGGAAAUUAUUUUAAUUUUAAUAUAAAAUACUUCAUGAUAUACCAUCAAGAGGUAUAUGACCUUUGAGAACAACUAUUCUAAAGGGAUGAUAUGUGUUUAGAAAUGAAGACUGUACAGCACAUUUUCACCUUAUCGGGCAAUAAUUUGGGAGCAGAGCUUUUGAGCAGUAAAAUUUUAGCGUGGUUGAGCAUUUGAAAAUACUCUAAAGUCAGUAAUUUGUAUAAGGCCAACUCCAGCUUUGAUAAUACAUAAAUAUAGACACCAUCUGCAUUAGGUAGCAAUUAGUUUUGGGGUAAAGUCUUUUAAGUUUUGCUGUAAAGACCUAUUAAUGAAGAAUACUUCACGCAGAGUUAGUAGCUGAGUCACCUAACCUAUUAAUGAAUUCCUGUGCCAGCAAUUAUAAUAGUCUACUUCUGGUACCAGAGAGGUUUGCUUUCAGUGAACAUGCUUCUCUGUGAUAGUUGUGCUAGUAUAGUCCUGUGCCGAGAUUCAAUUCCUAGAACUGUGGUUUUUAAAAUUUAAAACAACUUAAAAUUGCUUUUUCUCUUGCAUGGGAAACUUGCCACUUCAUUGAUUUGCAUGCCAUAAGAGCUGUGCAUAUUGGUUACCAUUAAACAUGUAGCAAAAUUCAGUAACAAAAGUCUUGGGCUUUUCAUACUAAUAAGCUUACAUGACAUACCUAGUAUGUUUGAGGUGUGGCUAUGAGUAUGUGAUUAUCAGUUGGCCAGCAAAUGUUGGGCAUCCACAAAUGAGACUAUAUACUAAGUGUAGACAGGGACAGAGUCAUAAGUGUAUAAUCAAGUAUUGUUUAAAACAUAUUCUCAGAAUUCUUGAAUUUAAUUUCAUUUGGUAUUCCUUUCUUUAUUCAAAGCCUAAAAUGAGCCAAGAAAAAUAACAUGAUUUUAGAAGUACUAGUAGCUGUAUAUGUGGUUUCUGAUUUCUGGGAUGUAAUCAUUUUGUAAUAUUGUCUCAAAAUUUGGCGUUUGAAAUUUUCAGUUUUAGGGGAUAUUUAACAUCUAUAGUUUCAAAUUUUUAAAUUUAUGAGCAUUGUAAAUCCAUAUACUCAGGAUAUUUCCCUUGGACUUGAUUCUACACCUGAGUAGAGUAGAAGGAGGGGAGUAGUCAGUAAGUUUUUAGCUCUUGCCCUCCUUCAGUCCAGGAACAUUUUCCUCAGUUUUUCUUUUUCAUAAGGCAUCCUUAAGCUAUGAUUAAGUUUAUUGCUGGAAAAAAUCCUCAUGACUUUACAGAUAGAACUAUAAACUAUGUGAUUUCUUGUACUCAGAGGAUAGACCUAACAAAAAUUAACUUUCAGAUUUUCACCAUUACCUAGGGUUUACCCAAAAGUUUACACCAAAGAUUUAGAGACAAUGUGCUUUUGCUUAACUGUCCGGUUUUUCUUUUUAAACAAAUAUAAGCAGGGCAGGGAUAUAUAGAUACAUGUCUAAAUAUGAAUAUUGAAAGGAAAAGAAAGUGAACAAAUCUAAUUUUACAUGAAAUUAAAUAUCUGGGGUUAGUAGAAAAAUUUGAAAAGAGUUAAGAGGAUACCAAGAAGCUUAAGCUGGACUAGCCUUAUUUGCAAGUGAAGGAUCUGGUGCUGCUUUCAGAUGUUUAUCCUUUGUGUUUUAAAAUUUUUUCUUAAGCUUUAAUCUUUGUUAUUGUCUUAAAGUCAGCUGGUGUUUCUUGUUCAUGGACUUUGGUACGAUGGUGCUUUGCAAGGAUGUAUUUAUAUUUUAAUGGCCAACAUUUGGUCAGCCCGUGUCCACUAUUCACUUCCCCCUUUUUGUAAAAUAAGUGCUUUAAUUGUAAAAUGUAUAAAAAUACCUUGUAUAAAUUCCCUUUUGAUUAUUACAAUAAGCUGAGUUGUAACAAAUGAAAUGUUGAUUUUUAUAAUAAAACCGUGGAAAGUAAAA